This is a long non-coding RNA of Strigops habroptila (Kakapo), 2536 nucleotides long. Lineage: Eukaryota; Metazoa; Chordata; Aves; Psittaciformes; Psittacidae. The record is from Ensembl.
CAGAACGUUUUCACAAGUUGUCUAUAUGCUGCUCCAGUAUGUUGCUGCAAAAUUAUAAUUGCAUAAAGGAGUUUCAUACUUCAGGUUUUCUCAAAGACCAAGGAUUUCUAACAGUAGUAUCUAAUCAGGCACUAGUAAGCAUACAGAUCACUUCUUCUAAAGAGUCGUUGAAAAUAUAUUUUGUGUUUACCUUAUUACUUCCCUAUUAAAACAUUUUUAGUUAUUUUAGAGAAGUGAGCAAAACUUUUUAAUACUGUCAUUUAUAUGCAUGACUAAAUUAUGAAAACUUAAUUCUACCUAAUGCUGUGUUGCCUCCCCCAGGAAUGUUUAAUUUGACUAGUACUCAUCAGUAGAUACUGCUUUCUACUCUACAAACGACAUUGAAUACUACAGCCACCUUUCUCACUCCAUGGUCUCUCUAUGGCUCAUCUGCUGUGGCUAGCUAUUUUCAAAGCCAGCACUAGAUCACAUUAUAACCUACUGCUGAAUGCUAUAAAUGCUUGUAACUGCUCCAGGAGUUCUUCCUAUCCCUCUGCAGAUCUGCUUCAGUACUCGGUAUUAGCAGUAUAGCUGUCAGCCUGCUUGUGAAUUCCCCACACACACUGUCAUUGCUUUGUAUGUAAAUUAGUCAGUCUUCAUCUCAGGAAUAUCGUAAGGACUUAUUCUUCUUGUGUCUCUUCCAAAAUAAGUUUCUUACAGUCAUCUUUUGUUCUAUAUAUGACAAUUCUAGGGGUUUUUUUAUUUCACGUUCUCUCAUAGGGAGCCUAGAAUAUUGCAGUUGGAUAUUUUUUUCAUUCCAAGAAAGAGGGAUAAUUCAUUAUCUGUCACAAUCAGUGUUUUCUUUUUGAAUCAAAUAAUCAAUUUUCCAGUUAAUUUUCAUAUUUCUUGAUGCAAUUGUUACACUCUGUUCUUUUAUCUGCAAAUAGCCAAACUUUUAAGACACUUUGCAAGACUAGAAAACUGCUCACCCCCUGAGAAGGAAAAGUCACCCUUUCUCAAGAGUACAAGAUUUUUGCUUCUGUUGCUAGCAUCUCUGUGGAAUGCCCUCUUUUCUUUGGAGUUACUCUACCCGCUCUGUUUAAAUCUUGACGUGAGACCCUGCAGAGUACAAGAGCAGGAGUUCCUUUACAUCUUCUGGUUUGAUCAGUCAUAGUCUUUAUGAGAAACCCAAGUAUUGCUUAAGUUAAAUGCCUUAACUAACAAAGGACUCUUUGGGGAAAUAGAUGUUCCUUCUCUGUAGCAGCAAGUGGAAUUGAUUGAGCAUGAGCAGAAAAAGUAGUUACUGCCUUUUAUUAAAGGGUAUAGGGGUGUCGGCAUCACUUGUUUUCCUCCUUCUGAGACUUAAAGACUUUAGGAUUCUUUUUUCAAUGCAUCAUCCCAACAUUGUUUGCAGUAUUUAACCACCUACUUGUAACUUCAGUUCUAAAAGAUACAAGAUACUUCUCGAUGCUGUGUCCUUAACUCUUCCCGCAAUAGUGUAUUUUCCUCUUCUACUGGACCAUUAUAUAUGUAGUAUUUCCACCCACAUUUAUAUUUAAGUGCUAGAAUCUUCCGACAGCAUACCUGCAGCGAAUGCAAGCCUGGGGUGCUAAAUAACGUGACGGUGACUUGCUCUGGCUGGUGUGACUGAUUAACAAUGCUGGUUUUAACACUUUGCACACCUUACCAGCGUUCCUCAUGAAGUCAUAGGAUGCAGGUGUAGACCUCAUAAAAUUACAUAUGUAAGAAGGAGGACAGAUUCGGCAGUUAAUCUACAGAGUUACCAGUUAUAGCAGAUGAACUGUAUUCCAAAGAAGUGCUGUUGCAGUGGAGCAAGGGAACUGCUAGUUUGAUGUUCAGUAUUGCAGUUGUUGCCACAGAACAUUUUAAUACUGUUGUAGAAAGUUUUGUGACCUGGUCAAUAUUUUACAUGUAUAUCUGUAUCUUUAUUAUAAUAUUGUAAUGGAAAAGGGUCUAAGGUUUGGAAGUUGUCUACAAUAAGAAUGAAGGCCCUGAUUCUCAUUUAUACUACUGUCCUUUGCAUCACAUUGAAAGGAUAAAGGGGCCUUAAACGGAUGUCAAUUUAGCUUACAUCCUUUGGAGUUUCCCAUUACACUAAUAAUGGUGUAAACAGUCAGUAGAAUAAAUUAAAACCGUUACCAAAUGACUGAUUUGUACAAUCAUCUGAAAUCAAUUUCAUGAUAUUGCUAUUGUGCACAUAGUGGCCAAUAACAUCCAGAUAGUUCUUAGUUUAGAAAUACAGGUUGAAAAGAAACUGGCUUGGUUUUUAUCAGGUUUCAAGUAUUCACUUCUAUUGGCUGUCCUUCUCCCAACACUGUCUACAAAGAGAAUGGGGUAGAAGACUUGUAUCUCUAGGUAAUAGCCUGGCCAGAAACCUUACAGAAUUGUCAAUAAUACUAUUUGUAAGCUUUGGUGUUUUUUUUUUUUCCUUAAAAUACUUGCUUCCAUUUAUCAUAACUUCAUCCCUUUUACUUGAUUGUAUAAAACGGGGUUGUGACAAUCUACUGAACUCAGUUCUUUUCUGACUUAAGACCCA